Tympanuchus pallidicinctus (lesser prairie-chicken) is the source of this 5027-nucleotide long non-coding RNA. RefSeq lists it as uncharacterized. NCBI's taxonomy places the organism in Eukaryota, Metazoa, Chordata, Aves, Galliformes, Phasianidae. The transcript is spliced from 2 exons. The record is from RefSeq and is a predicted model, not a curated record.
UAGCAUUCUGUUUUUAUAAUAAAUGCCUGUUGAGUGAGAUAUUUGGUAACGCAUCAAAUAAUGAGAUGCUUAGUAGACAGAUGCAUGGAUAACAUUUGUUUGACCUGAAAUGGUGGAAUUGCUGAAAACUUUUCCUUCCUUUAGGGGCCUAUCUAUCAGUUCGAACUUCCUAAUGUAUCUGAGGAGUACAAGAGUUUGGUGGUUUUUGUAUGUUGCUUUAAUUCGCUUUGUAAAGAAAUGUUGAGGGAUUCUUGUUAACUCUUGUGGUAUUUAGAAGUCUAAAGUUAGUUGUUUUGAAUUUUAAAGAGAGCACGUUUCAGUCAUGCAAAAGUUGCCAUUUUUUUUUUUUAAGAGUUUCUUACCACCACAACAGGCUGUCUCUGUUUCUUCAUUUUUCAUUAGUGAAUGAGUGAGGCUGUGUGAGGGUGAUGUGUGUUUGGAUUGGGUAUGUGUAGUGGUUACCCCACUGCAGUAGUGGACUACUGAUAAACUACAUGUUUUGUCAGUAACUUCUUAUGGGAAUUCUUUCCUUCUUCAAGGGAGAUUGAAGCAGCCCACCUUUCAGUGCUUCAGUACUUAAUCUGCCAAAAAAUCAGUAUCAAAAGCAACCUUAUGUAGAUGAGUAUGCCAAGACAUUAUUUAACUGCACAUAACUACUUUGUCAAUUAACUAGGAAAUCAGGAUGAUAUUAACUGUGUAAUUCAAGCUCACCUCCUAGAAGGGAAAAAGUGUGUUAAUUAUAAUGUAAUUGUAGCUUGCUUCAAAGACUGUAGUACAUUCAGCGUGUUUAGAGAGGGUAAAGAUUUAUUUGAUUGGUUUUUUUCCUCGGAGAAAUGAUCUUCUUGCCUUUUGAGUAACUGCAAAACCUUGAAUUACAAAGUUGUCCAUUCAUUGAGCCUUUCUGAUUGUGGUUAGUCCUGACUAUUCCAAUUGCUGUGGAUUUGGAGUGUCCUAGAUUGUGCAGUAAUUUCCAGUAGCAGUGUAUUAGAGAGAACGUCUCCUAUACUUCUUAGAUAGUCCAGAAAUGUAAAUUCUAGAGAAAUAUUUUCUGGUUGUAGAUCAAUGCUUAGAUGACUUUUUGUUGUAAGCAGAUUGUAAGUAAAACACUACAUCUCUGAAAGUAGCUACUGAGAAGUUUGAAAACUUACUUUGUCUUUGAAGUGAUUUUUUUUUUCUCUUUGGAGUCAGUUCCUGUUGCAGAAGCUUAAAGUUUUGUUCAUGGUCACAUUGUUCAUUAGCUUUGCCUGAAGAGUGUCAUUGAAGCAAAUCGUUUGGAGAGAUGUUCAAACAAUAGCUUCUGUGGCUUUAUUUUUUCCUCCCUCCUGUUUCCCUUUAUUUCCCAAAGGAUAAAAGCCAUAGUGCUGAAAGUGUAGAUGUUAUCUCACCCAGUAAAUUUUGGGCUGUUUUAGAAUUUUCUUUUUCCCUUUGAGUAAUUUUAAGGACUUGAGAACCUUACUGAAGAGCAGCUCAUUUGACUCAACAGGCUUUGUUUCUUCUGGUUCAGUGUGUAUAAGAUGCCUUCCCCAGUUUCAUCUCAAAGACAAUUCACCUCUUAACUGUGCUUAGAGAUGCUCAUAGAGGGAGAAUCCCUAAGGCAUUUUCCUCUGUUCUAGGAAAUAUUAAACAUUUUAUGAGUAAAUAUUUCUCACAGUUCUAAAACAACCUUCAAAAUUAGUCCAGCUUUCUGUUCUAUCUUCUCUAAUCUGUGCAAAACAGCCAAAUUCUGUACUUGGAAAUAAAAAAUAAUCUCACCCAAGGAAUGGCAGAACUCUUUGUUUAUGUGCCGAGUUGUUCAGGACAUUUGUUCUAUUUUUUUCCUUCAAACCUGUUUACAGAGUUUUCAUGCCACUCAUCAGCCUUUCAAGGACAGCAUUUGAGUGAGUGGUAUCCUCUUUUAUCAAACAACGACUGUUAUAUUUACACUUUGAUAACUGUUAUUUCCCUGUACAUAGUGUUACCUAUAAAUUGGUGGGCACUGUCUUGCCUCUAGACAGGGUAAUGAUUUUGGCUGGCUUUAAAUUUGUGGAAGAGUUAGAAGCUGGGAGCUGCUGCUCUCAGGUGAUGUAUCCAAGGGAGGUGGAGUUCCUAGUGCUAUAGAGUGCUUGUGCUUAGUUUUGCCAACUGAAAGGUUUCCUUUGCUGCAAAUGGAACUUCAUAAGAGGGUGCAUGCAGCUGAGAAGAAUUUGAAUCUUGAGUUGUUUGUUCCUACACUUUGGAAAUAAAUAUCUCAUGAUACCAGGUAGUCUGUUUUGUUCAGUGCUUUGGAAAUAUGCUUCUUUUUAUCAGGUGUAUUGUAAGAAAAAACAAUCUUUAAUUUUAGUUAUGGGCACUUCUAAGUGGAAGUUUAUACCUUCAACCACUGAAAUGCUGGGAGCAUGGAGGUAAUUGCAAGCAAAAGAUCGUGAUUCUUAAGUCUUAUAGGCUGCUGCACACUUUUCCCCUUCAAGGUCCUUCGAAUUUUUUGGUUCAAAAAUAGAAAUACUGUGGGAGGCUUGAAUGCUCCCAUAGGCCUGCUUUUCUGAUUUAGUAGUGCUGUGUUUAGUCUGAAAGUUUGGUUUUCUUUUCCUCCCUGGCUUUCAGAAGAGUGCUGUAGUAAUCAUCCUCCAGCCUCAAUCGCAGAUAGCAACAGGUUUCUAGAUCAAUUCCAGAAGAGUCCAUGUGUUCCAUAGUGUAUUUUAAAAAUGAUCUACAUAGAAGAAUCCAGGUAAAUGAGCAGCUAAAAAUUCAGUACAUGAGCAGUUGCGUGGUUUAUUGUGGCAAAAUGCAGGAGAAUUUCUUCCGUGUGUUUGCUGUUUAAUCGUGAGGUAUGAAAUAGUAUGUUACAUGGGAGUAUUAAAAAAAAAAAGCAACUUGCUCAAAUGUGAGCAUUGUCCCACAUCAGGUAAGGGAAGAAGCAGUUCAGAGAUGAUCUCACCAUUUCUAGCUGAUCUGAGAUUAUAGGGAAGAUUCUGAAAGGACAGACUGUGUGAUCUGCCUUCACAGAGAGUAUAGGAAAUGUUGCGGUGGUUUUGUUGGAAGUAGUGCACUUCACAAACUAAAAGCAAAAGAAAUGAGAACAGUGCUACAAAGAAACUUGUUACUGUUGUCCAUGAAGUUCAUAAUUGCAUUUGAAUUUAAAAUAUUUGGACAAAUAUUUGAUCUUUUUUAUGUACACACAUGGAUGAUACCUCACUUGUCACCAUUUGACUUAUAGUUGUAAUAGGAAGAGGAAAGUGGCGUUUGUGCCUAGGAAUUUGAUUUUUACAGCAGAGCUUCUUUGAUUUAGGUAGGUACUGUCCAAAUCUCUCACAGAAUCAUAUUCCUUAGCUUGAGGAAUGCAUCUUGCAGUGGGUAAAGAAAGAUGUCUGGAAAAGCCCAGACUUUGUUUGGCUUUCAAUUGGAAAUAGUAGAAUUCGAAUGAGACGUUUAUUUGUCUCUUCGUUUUAGAGAGUUUUAAGCGUUGCCCAGGACCUCUAAGCAUAUUGUCCUAGAAUUUUUCUUGCUCCUUGAAGGAGAAAGGCUAUUUAAUCUUGCAUUUGACAUUCUUCAUGUAAUGAAUGUUAGGAACUUGCUUAUAGAAAACUCCAUGGACAGAGAAGACAGUAGACAAAACAAGAUUCUCCUGCAGCACUACAGUUACCUCAGCAGGCACACUUUUUUCUUCAAGCUUAACUCUAGUUACUCAGUGUCCCUGUGGAUUUUCUAGAAAGAGUCUGUCUUCCUCCUAGGAGUUCUAUUUGUAAGUAUAUAAAUCUGCAUCCUUGUUUUACACCACAGUCUUUCUUUAUGAGCUACUCCAAGUCAUGACUGCUGUGUGUGUUCCAGGUUUUCUCCUUUAACUGUGCCCUAAGUCUACACAAGGCUGAAGCAACCUUCUUCUCCGCUUCUUCCUCUUCCUUUAUCACAGUCCAGGAUUCAAUUGAGAAUGGUCAUUUCUUCAGGGGGAAAAAUAAACAGAGAGAACAAGCUUUGUGUUUGUACAUACCAUCUGUAUAAACAAUAUUAAAAUAUCAAUAUAUAAUGAUGUUACAAAAGCUGUUACAUUAUUGAAAUUGUUAACAUGAACAAAAAUUAACAUAAAUACUGAUUUUGAACAUCUUGGUAAUUGCAUGAUGUUAACAUAGUUUUAAUAUUUUAACAUACUUUUAAUAUAUAAUGUUGUAUAAUACUUACAAAGAGUAUAUUAGAAUACCAUUCAAUAUGCUUACCAAUGGACUUCUGUUAAUUUCUGAGUUUCAUUCUACAUUCGAAAUUCUUGUUUUGUAUUUUAUGUGUUUUCUUAUGAUGAAAAGCCAGUUUUUGAAGUUCUUAACAGAACUGCUGACUGUAGUUUUCUGACUGAAAUGUCUGCUACUCAAAGCAGCCCAUCAUUUGGGAGUGUGACUGGCUGUCCAUAAUGUCCAAUUUGUGGUAUGUAACACCCUGAUUAGGUCAGUACUCCAUCUGAGUGGAAGAUGAUGCACAGUUGAACAGAUGGUUAACAUUCUGUAAUUGUUUUGGAUCAACAGUUUCAUUUAGGAAUGGUUUUAGUGCAGCUUCAGGGUGAAUUAAUUAAAAUUUUGCUUAAAUCUUUUGAACUGGAGUAUAUUAAGCACUUAUUUAGCUUCUCGUUUGCAAAUAAAGUAGCUUUGACUAAAGUGACAGUUCAACAUUUGGUAAACCGAGUCCACUUCUAAGCAUUUAAAGCAUAAAAACUUAGCGUCAGUCAUGUCAUGCCUCAAACAGGAAAGCUGCAAAUGUUAUCCUGGUAUUACUAGGGAAGGAAAUGAUGCUGCUGCUUUCACAAAGAAGCUGUAUUGUCUUCAAUGAUGGCAGAUGGUAGGAGGUUGUUGUUUGUUUGUUUGUUUUUCUGAUUGGUUGGUUGUUUUUGAAUGAUCACUACUUAAAAUGUAAGCUUGUAAAUGACAUCGUAUUUAGCCAACUCAUGGCUUGGAGCAUUUUGGAAGUUCUUUACAAUGUGCAGCAGGGGGUUAUAGGAGAUGAUAUUGUUUUGGCAAAGUUGGAGAUUUUAUGAAGAUCUGUUGUGUUUUUUUUUCCUUCCUGCCCAG